CAUCAUGGUAGAGAAUGCCAACUACGGGCGCACGGACGACAAGAUUUGCGAUGCUGACCCUUUCCAGAUGGAGAAUGUGCAGUGCUACCUGCCGGACGCCUUCAAGAUCAUGUCACAGAGGUGUAACAACCGCACCCAGUGUGUGGUGGUCGCCGGCUCGGAUGCCUUUCCUGACCCCUGUCCUGGGACCUACAAGUACCUGGAGGUGCAGUACGACUGUGUCCCCUACAGUGAGUCAUCUUGUUCCUUGUGCGGAUGCGGGCCCUUCUCGCAUGAGUGAGUGAGGAGGAGACACCUUGACCCAUCACACAUGUGCACACAUGCAUGGGGCCUGGGCACAGUGGGGACAGCCGGGCCUGCUCUCUCCAACACACAUUCUCUAAUCCCAGACACCAGUGUCCACACUCAGUGCCUGCUCCCCCGC
Molecule: small RNA, 424 nt
Filed under: Pan troglodytes (chimpanzee)
Lineage: Eukaryota; Metazoa; Chordata; Mammalia; Primates; Hominidae
Description: retained intron
Source: RNAcentral